CCGAGUGAGGGUGUUCAAUCGCCCGACCUCCCAACCCUUUGUUCGAUGUACGCACAUGCCUCGGGGGGCGACCCGGCUCCGGCCGGCGACCCCCCGGCGUAUCAUUUUAAAACACUGCAUCUCUGCGUCAGAGUAUUGAAGCAAAUCAAUCA
RNAcentral lists this unclassified non-coding RNA (152 nucleotides) under uncultured fungus. RNAcentral's name for it is "sequence contains ITS1, 5.8S rRNA gene". Lineage: Eukaryota; Fungi. The record is from RNAcentral.